This 432-nucleotide ribosomal RNA is filed under the name uncultured bacterium. RNAcentral describes it as "bacterial SSU rRNA". It matches the Rfam family "Bacterial small subunit ribosomal RNA", at positions 335 to 747 of the family's 1533-position model. The record is from RNAcentral.
ACUCCUACGGGAGGCAGCAGUAGGGAAUCUUCCACAAUGGGCGCAAGCCUGAUGGAGCAACACCGCGUGAGUGAAGAAGGGUUUCGGCUCGUAAAGCUCUGUUGUUAAAGAAGAACACGUAUGAGAGUAACUGUUCAUACGUUGACGGUAUUUAACCAGAAAGUCACGGCUAACUACGUGCCAGCAGCCGCGGUAAUACGUAGGUGGCAAGCGUUAUCCGGUAUUUAUUGGGCGUAAAGAGAGUGCAGGUCGGUUUUCUAAGUCUGAUGUGAAAGCCUUCGGCUUAACCGGAGAAGUGCAUCGGAAACUGGAUAACUUGAGUGCAGAAGAGGGUAGUGGAACUCCAUGUGUAGGUCGGUGGAAUGCGUAGAUAUAUGGAAGAACACCACUCACCUCUCUCGAACUCAAGACUACCAGUAUUAAACGGCAGUU